GAUGGACUCGUCCAUCCUUGGGUGGAAUCUGUGUGGCAUUAAGUUGUCGUGCAGGGGAUGCCCAUCGUUUACUGUGAAAAAAUUAGAGUGUUCAAAGCAGGCUUAUGCCGUUGAAUAUAUUAGCAUGGAAUAAUGAGAUAGGACCUUGGUACUAUUUUGUUGGUUUGCGCACCGAGGUAAUGAUUAAUAGGGACAGUUGGGGGUAUUCGUAUUCCAUUGUCAGAGGUGAAAUUCUUGGAUUUUUGGAAGACGAACUACUGCGAAAGCAUUUACCAAGGAUGUUUU
RNAcentral lists this ribosomal RNA (285 nucleotides) under Fragilariaceae sp. RCC5366. Its description in RNAcentral is "partial small subunit ribosomal RNA". The stretch from base 63 to 285 matches the Rfam family "Eukaryotic small subunit ribosomal RNA", at positions 746 to 970 of the family's 1831-position model. The record is from RNAcentral. Lineage: Eukaryota; Bacillariophyta; Fragilariophyceae; Fragilariales; Fragilariaceae.